RNAcentral lists this long non-coding RNA (888 nucleotides) under Homo sapiens (human). RNAcentral's name for it is "HSALNT0317683". The record is from RNAcentral. Lineage: Eukaryota; Metazoa; Chordata; Mammalia; Primates; Hominidae.
UUGAGAGAGGUCAGCGUGAGCCCCUUGCCUCACACCGGCCCCUCCCACGCUGAGAGAGGUCAGUGUGAGCCCUUGCCUCACACCGGCCCCUCCCACGCGGACAGAGGUCAGCGUGAGCCCCUUGCCUCACACCGGCCCCUCCCACGCUGAGAGAGGUCAGUGUGAGCCCUUGCCUCACCCCGGCCCCUCCCACGUGGACAGAGGUCAGCGUGAGCCCCUUGUCUCACACCGGCCCCUCCCACGCUGAGAGAGGUCAGCCCAAGCCCCUUGCCUCACACCGGCCCCUCCCACGCGGACAGAGGUCAGCCCGAGCUCCUUGCCUCACACCGGCCCCUCCCACGCUGAGAGAGGUCAGUGUGAGCCCUUGCCUCACACCGGCCCCUCCCACGCGGACAGAGGUCAGCGUGAGCCCCUUGCCUCACACCGGCCCCUCCCACGCUGAGAGAGGUCAGUGUGAGCCCUUGCCUCACACCGGCCCCUCCCACGCGGACAGAGGUCAGCGUGAGCCCCUUGCCUCACACCGGCCCCUCCCACGCUGAGAGAGGUCAGCCCGAGCCCCUUGCCUCACACCGGCCCCUCCCACGCUGAGAGAGGUCAGCCCGAGCCCCUUGCCUCACACCGGCCCCUCCCACGCUGAGAGAGGUGUGAGCCCCUUGUCUCACACCGGCCCCUCCCACGCGGACAGAGGUCAGCGUGAGCCCCUUGCCUCACCCCGGCCCCUCCCACGCUGAGAGAGGUCAGUGUGAGCCCUUGCCUCACACCGGCCCCUCCCACGCGGACAGAGGUCAGCGUGAGCCCCUUGCCUCACCCCGGCCCCUCCCACGCUGAGAGAGGUCAGUGUGAGCCCUUGCCUCACACCGGCCCCUCCCACGCGGACAGAGGUCAGCG